This 493-nucleotide ribosomal RNA is filed under the name uncultured bacterium. RNAcentral's name for it is "bacterial SSU rRNA". It matches the Rfam family "Bacterial small subunit ribosomal RNA", at positions 28 to 521 of the family's 1533-position model. The record is from RNAcentral.
GAUGAACGCUAGCGGGAGGCCUAACACAUGCAAGCCGAGCGGUAUUGUUUCUUCGGAAAUGAGAGAGCGGCGUACGGGUGCGGAACACGUGUGCAACCUGCCUUUAUCUGGGGGAUAGCCUUUCGAAAGGAAGAUUAAUACUCCAUAAUAUAUUGAUUGGCAUCAAUUAAUAUUGAAAGCUCCGGCGGAUAGAGAUGGGCACGCGCAAGAUUAGCUAGUUGGUGAGGUAACGGCUCACCAAGGCAAUGAUCUUUAGGGGGCCUGAGAGGGUGAUCCCCCACACUGGUACUGAGACACGGACCAGACUCCUACGGGAGGCAGCAGUGAGGAAUAUUGGUCAAUGGGUGCAAGCCUGAACCAGCCAUCCCGCGUGAAGGACGACUGCCCUAUGGGUUGUAAACUUCUUUUGUAUAGGGAUAAACCUUUCCACGUGUGGAAAGCUGAAGGUACUAUACGAAUAAGCACCGGCUAACUCCGUGCCAGCAGCCGCGGU